GCUUCUCGGGAAGGUGAUGUUCACCGAGAACGACGUCACCACCAUUAGCGCACGCUACAUCCCUAUUGCAGUGGAGAUCGCGAAUGCAACUUGUGGUGACGACAUCACACAGAGGAGUUGGGGUUCGGCUGUCUUAGCGGCUACGUAUCGAGGAGUUGUUUGACUUAGAACACAUCGACCUGAUUACUUUCGUGACAAUUUGGACACGUAACAAGAGACGUUUUGCACAUAAUCAGGUCAGGAAUUGCUACCCAUCAUUCAACGAGCAGUUCGACGUGUUGCACUCUGAGGCGAUUGUCUGGGAGCCGUACACACAGGACGCCAUCGAUGAUAGAUACCCUGGAGGGAUGUCCAUGGUCUGCAUGAGAGAUUACGCUUACUGGAUGACAAAAUCAAAGAUCAUCUUCGACGUCAGCGUGGAGGAGACGGCCCAGCAGAGGGUCAUGAGGCAGUUUGGGGCACGCCAGUUGGUUUACCAGGAAGGGAAGUACCAGGACCCAGACUCAGUGGC
Molecule: long non-coding RNA, 511 nt
Organism: Brachypodium distachyon (stiff brome)
Lineage: Eukaryota; Viridiplantae; Streptophyta; Magnoliopsida; Poales; Poaceae
Exons: 4
Source: RefSeq, a predicted model, not a curated record